This 270-nucleotide long non-coding RNA is filed under the name Setaria viridis. RNAcentral describes it as "long non-coding RNA (SVIR_LNC009601)". Lineage: Eukaryota; Viridiplantae; Streptophyta; Magnoliopsida; Poales; Poaceae. The record is from RNAcentral.
AAAGAGAGGUGGAGGGUUUUGAGAAUUUAAAUAGAGUUGAAGUUUUCAAAAUCAAAUUCAAAUUCUUUUGAAAAUCAAAAGCAAGCAUUCAAACAAAAGCCAAAAUAAAAGAGAAAAGAAAAACUCUACCAAGCACUUAUUGCUUCUAAAAUUAUUUCAAGUGCUCUUUAAUUAUUUAAAGAUCGUAAUUUAAUUAAAGUAAUUUAUUUAAUCCUUAGAGCACGAAAAACUAGACCGAGUUGCUUACAUUAUUUUCAUGAUGGAAUUUUG